GCACCCCCACAGGCAAAAAAGUCAGGUCUCCUGUGGCGGCUGUAUUUGCUCUGGCCAGGAGCAUUAGCAAAGCUGCGCUCUCGGUCUUUGGGACGGGUGGGUAGCUGGCAGUGGCUGGGUCCCCUCGCGGUCGCUUGCCUGCUCUCCUGGCUGGUGUCUCCUUUCUCUUUUACUGCUUCUUGCUCGAGGGGCUGCUCCUCUGUGGCUCCUGUGGUGCCGAAGAGCCUCACUAUUUCUCUGCCUCGUGGUUUGCUUGCCCCCUCCAGUACUUUCCUGAUGCUGGUCCCUUCUCCCAUUGCRGGUCACUUGGUAUCUCUCGAUCCUCUGCCCCUAUGCCUUGUAACGUUCUUCAGCUCCGUGGAUUUGACAGUUGCUGUAUGCCCAUGGGGAUCGUGUUCAGGGUCACUGUCAGUUCCUUAAGGGAAGCCUACGCUCUGAGAAGGUGUCUCAGUGUUGUUGCAGCAGUCAGUCCUGUGCUGCUCCUGCCUCCCCGAAGUCUGGAAGCGGUAUCUUCUAGGUGUGGCGGCUGUGCCAGCUCCAUCAGUGGCAAAUCAAUUCCCGUAGUCCGUUUGAUCCUGUGGUCAACCAAAAACACAACUGAACCAAAUAAACCACCCUGAAAAGUGUUUUCUCCGUGUAUUGCUUGAGUUCURGAAAAGGUGCAGCACUUAAAAAUUGAAUACAGC
Molecule: long non-coding RNA, 686 nt
Filed under: Apteryx rowi (Okarito brown kiwi)
Lineage: Eukaryota; Metazoa; Chordata; Aves; Apterygiformes; Apterygidae
Description: lncRNA (ENSARWG00000008311.1)
Source: RNAcentral